UACGGGGGGGGCAAGCGUUGUUCGGAAUUACUGGGCGUAAAGCGUGCGCAGGCGGCUUUGCAAGACAGAUGUGAAAUCCCCGGGCUCAACCUGGGAACUGCAUUUGUGACUGCAUGGCUAGAGUGCGGCAGAGGGGGAUGGAAUUCCGCGUGUAGCAGUGAAAUGCGUAGAUAUGCGGAGGAACACCGAUGGCGAAGGCAAUCCCCUGGGCCUGCACUGACGCUCAUGCACGAAAGCGUGGGGAGCAAACAGG
RNAcentral lists this ribosomal RNA (253 nucleotides) under uncultured bacterium. RNAcentral's name for it is "partial 16S ribosomal RNA". It matches the Rfam family "Bacterial small subunit ribosomal RNA", at positions 524 to 776 of the family's 1533-position model. The record is from RNAcentral.